GCUGGGCCUGGUGGUGCAUGCCUGUAAUCCCAGCAGCUUGGGAGGCUGAGGCAGGAGGAUUGCAAGUUUGAAGCCAACCUCAGCAACAGUGGGGCGAUAAGCAACUCAGUGAGACCUUGUAUCUA
RNAcentral lists this small RNA (125 nucleotides) under Marmota monax (woodchuck). Lineage: Eukaryota; Metazoa; Chordata; Mammalia; Rodentia; Sciuridae. The record is from RNAcentral.